RNAcentral lists this ribosomal RNA (497 nucleotides) under uncultured bacterium. Its description in RNAcentral is "partial 16S ribosomal RNA". It matches the Rfam family "Bacterial small subunit ribosomal RNA", at positions 28 to 507 of the family's 1533-position model. The record is from RNAcentral.
GAUGAACGCUGGCGGCGUGCCUAAUACAUGCAAGUCGAGCGAACAGAUAAGGAGCUUGCUCCUUUGACGUUAGCGGCGGACGGGUGAGUAACACGUGGGUAACCUACCUAUAAGACUGGGAUAACUUCGGGAAACCGGAGCUAAUACCGGAUAACAUUUGGAACCGCAUGGUUCUAAAGUGAAUGAUGGUUUUGCUAUCACUUAUAGAUGGACCCGCGCCGUAUUAGCUAGUUGGUAAGGUAACGGCUUACCAAGGCGACGAUGCGUAGCCGACCUGAGAGGGUGAUCGGCCACACGGGAACUGAGACACGGUCCAGACUCCUACGGGAGGCAGCAGUAGGGAAUCUUCCGCAAUGGGCGAAAGCCUGACGGAGCAACGCCGCGUGAGUGAUGAAGGGUUUCGGCUCGUAAAACUCUGUUAUUAGGGAAGAACAAAUGUGUAAGUAACUGUGCACGUCUUGACGGUACCUAAUCAGAAAGCCACGGCUAACUACGUG